This 461-nucleotide ribosomal RNA is filed under the name uncultured Polaromonas sp. RNAcentral describes it as "bacterial SSU rRNA". It matches the Rfam family "Bacterial small subunit ribosomal RNA", at positions 919 to 1382 of the family's 1533-position model. The record is from RNAcentral. Lineage: Bacteria; Pseudomonadati; Pseudomonadota; Betaproteobacteria; Burkholderiales; Comamonadaceae.
ACCCGCACAAGCAGCGGAGCGUGUGGUUUAAUUCGAUGAUACACGAAGACCUUACCAGGGCUUGACAUGCAGAUGGUAGUGAAGAGAAAUUGGAACGACCCUUCGGGGAGUCUGCACAGGUGCUGCAUGGCUGUCGUCAGCUCGUGUCGUGAGAUGUUGGGUUAAGUCCCGCAACGAGCGCAACCCUUGUCAUUAGUUGCUACAUUCAGUUGGGCACUCUAAUGAGACUGCCGGUGACAAACCGGAGGAAGGUGGGGAUGACGUCAAGUCCUCAUGGCCCUUAUAGGUGGGGCUACACACGUCAUACAAUGGAUGGUACAAAGGGUCGCCAACCCGCGAGGGGGAGCCAAUCCCAUAAAGCCAUUCGUAGUCCGGAUCGCAGUCUGCAACUCGACUGCGUGAAGUCGGAAUCGCUAGUAAUCGUGGAUCAGAAUGUCACGGUGAAUACGUUCCCGGGUCUU